CACCUGUCCUUCUUUAAUUAUAUCACCCUCUUUAAAGAUGGGAGGUUGCCUUUUUCCUUUCACUGUUCUGUUUCUUCGGAAUGAGCCAACCGUCGGAGAAGCAACUAGAACAUAUCCAGUAGCUCCAGACGCCUCUAAGGCAGCUAAUUUGGAUGACUUCCCAAAUGAGACAUUUGUAAAAGGAGUGGUUUUUUCAGUAGAGGUUUUGGGUGGUGAUGGUGGGGCAACAGAAGCUGAUAUAUCCAUUGGCUUAGUUGGGAUCGGUGGUGGUUCUGUAGGUGAAAUGUUGGACAUGGGAGCUUUUGUAGCCCCAACAUUGCGGCGCAAAUGCAUUUCAAAAUCCCCAACCUUGAGUUUCAGUUCAGCAACCUCCGUCUCAUCACAGACCUCGAGUACCAAUGCUUCAAAUCCAUUAGGAAAAGUAGCACUUCGCGAAGAAUUCUUCUCCAACGCACCAGCAUCAGAUUUGGCCGUUGCAGCAGCAGCUUCAGGCGCCCUUACACACGAGACGACGGAUACAUUUCGCUUCACCGGAUAAGAAAUGAAUUUCCGGCAAACAGUCAAGCGCUGGCCGUACA
Molecule: unclassified non-coding RNA, 578 nt
Filed under: Hevea brasiliensis (rubber tree)
Lineage: Eukaryota; Viridiplantae; Streptophyta; Magnoliopsida; Malpighiales; Euphorbiaceae
Source: RNAcentral